AGUGAACGCUGGCGGUAGGCCUAACACAUGCAAGUCGAACGGCAGCACAGUAAGAGCUUGCUCUUACGGUUGGCGAGUGGCGGACGGGUGAGGAAUACAUAGGAAUCUACUUUUUCGUGGGGGAUAACGUAGGGAAACUUACGCUAAUACCGCAUACGACCUACGGGUGAAAGCAGGGGAUCUUCGGACCUUGCGCGAUUGAAUGAGCCGAUGUCGGAUUAGCUAGUUGGCGGGGUAAGGGCCCACCAAGGCGACGAUCCGUAGCUGGUCUGAGAGGAUGAUCAGCCACACUGGAACUGAGACACGGUCCAGACUCCUACGGGAGGCAGCAGUGGGGAAUAUUGGACAAUGGGCGCAAGCCUGAUCCAGCCACACCGCGUGAGUGAAGAAGGCCUUCGGGUUGUAAAGCCCUUUUGCUGGGAAAGAAAAGCAGCAGGUUAAUACCCCGCUGUUCUGACGGUACCCAAAGAAUAAGCACCGGCUAACUUCGUG
This 492-nucleotide ribosomal RNA is filed under the name uncultured bacterium. Its description in RNAcentral is "partial 16S ribosomal RNA". It matches the Rfam family "Bacterial small subunit ribosomal RNA", at positions 29 to 507 of the family's 1533-position model. The record is from RNAcentral.